AGAGUUUGAUCCUGGCUCAGGAUGAACGCUGGCGGCGUGCCUAACACAUGCAAGUCGAACGGGCGCGGCGUGCGGCAGGGGCCUCGGCCCCUGCGGCGCCGCGCGAGUGGCGGACGGGUGAGUAACGCGUGGGCAACCUGCCCUGUACUGGGGGAUAACACCUGGAAACAGGUGCUAAUACCGCAUAAGCGCGGCGUGCCGCAUGGCAUGGCGCGGAAAACCCCGGUGGUACAGGAUGGGCCCGCGUCUGAUUAGCUGGUUGGCAGGGUAACGGCCUACCAAGGCGACGAUCAGUAGCCGGCCUGAGAGGGUGGACGGCCACACUGGGACUGAGGCACGGCCCAGACUCCUACGGGAGGCAGCAGUGGGGGAUAUUGCACAAUGGGGGGAACCCUGAUGCAGCGACGCCGCGUGGGUGAAGGAGCGUUUCGGCGCGUAAAGCCCUAUCGGCAGGGAAGAAGAUGACGGUACCUGACCAAGAAGCCCCGGCUAACUACGUG
This 500-nucleotide ribosomal RNA is filed under the name uncultured Eubacteriales bacterium. RNAcentral's name for it is "bacterial SSU rRNA". It matches the Rfam family "Bacterial small subunit ribosomal RNA", at positions 8 to 507 of the family's 1533-position model. Lineage: Bacteria; Bacillati; Bacillota; Clostridia; Eubacteriales. The record is from RNAcentral.